This is a non-coding RNA of Mustela putorius furo (domestic ferret), 73 nucleotides long. The record is from Rfam. Lineage: Eukaryota; Metazoa; Chordata; Mammalia; Carnivora; Mustelidae.
ACCUGGCUGGCUCAGUUGGUGGAGCAUGUGACUUUUGAUCUCAGUGUUGUGGGUUCGAGCCCCACAUUGGGCU